GAUGAACGCUAGCGGCAGGCCUAACACAUGCAAGUCGAGGGGCAGCACAGGUAGCAAUACUGGGUGGCGACCGGCGGAUGGGUGCGUAACGCGUAUGCAACCUACCAUUGAUUGGGGCAUAGCCCGAAGAAAUUCGGAUUAAUACUCCAUAAUAUUCAUCAAAGGCAUCUUUUAUGAAUUAAAGCUUUUGCGAUCAAUGAUGGGCAUGCGUGACAUUAGUUAGUUGGUGAGGUAACGGCUCACCAAAACGAUGAUGUCUAGGGGUUCUGAGAGGAUUAUCCCCCACACUGGUACUGAGACACGGACCAGACUCCUACGGGAGGCAGCAGUGAGGAAUAUUGGUCAAUGGGCGCAAGCCUGAACCAGCCAUCCCGCGUGCAGGAAGACGGCCCUAUGGGUUGUAAACUGCUUUUCCAGGGAGAGAAACUUACGCACGUGUUGCGUGACUGACGGUACCCUGGGAAUAAGCAUCGGCUAACUCCG
RNAcentral lists this ribosomal RNA (483 nucleotides) under uncultured bacterium. Its description in RNAcentral is "bacterial SSU rRNA". It matches the Rfam family "Bacterial small subunit ribosomal RNA", at positions 28 to 505 of the family's 1533-position model. The record is from RNAcentral.